UUAGCUCUGUUGGGUUAGAGCAUGGUGCUAAUAACACCAAGGCUGUGGGUUCAAUCCUCAUA
This 62-nucleotide transfer RNA is filed under the name Corvus brachyrhynchos (American crow). It matches the Rfam family "tRNA", at positions 7 to 64 of the family's 71-position model. Rfam says of the family: Transfer RNA (tRNA) molecules are approximately 80 nucleotides in length. The record is from Rfam by way of RNAcentral. Lineage: Eukaryota; Metazoa; Chordata; Aves; Passeriformes; Corvidae.